Molecule: RNA transcript, 7929 nt
Organism: Cuculus canorus (common cuckoo)
Lineage: Eukaryota; Metazoa; Chordata; Aves; Cuculiformes; Cuculidae
Gene: MTNR1A
Gene name: melatonin receptor 1A
Exons: 2
Source: RefSeq, a predicted model, not a curated record
GGCCGAGGGCUCCCCGCGACGCCCACCCUGGGUGACCUCCACCUUGGCCGCCAUCCUCAUCUUCACCAUCGUCGUGGACCUGCUGGGCAACCUGCUGGUCAUCCUCUCCGUCUACCGCAACAAGAAGCUGCGGAACGCGGUGGCUACGGGCUGGGACGAGGUGCCGAGGGCGUCGUGUUUCGGUGAUCGAGCGAGUAAAGGUAUUUUUAGCGGCCAUCACCGAAUCGCCGUGCUAUUUUUAGCUCUCGACAGUUCCCACCUAGCAAUAAAAAAAACCCAGAGGAGUACUAAGCCUUAUUUAAGAAUGAAAUUAGACGCGGUGCCGGGGCUGCUGCUGUGGCAAACAGCGUGUGUCCGUGCAUGCUGGAGGCUGUUCUUCUGAUCAAUUUUCUUUUGAGUUACAGAAAUGUCUUCAGUACAAAUACGAAUGUCGGAGCUUCAAAAUCAAGGAAAUAUUAAGUUACAGACGUUGCAGAAUUCAGAAAAUAAAUAAAUAAAUAAAACAAAAAAGAAAACCCAAUACAGUCAUUUCAUUUUCUUUGUUCACCUCCUAUUUACUGUCUAGGUCUUUGGGGAAUGGGAAACAUUUGACAGAAAGCAGCUUAAGCGUGUUCAUAAAAAUAAAAUCUCUAAUUUAGACAGGAUAGAUUCUGUGAUGGUCUAUUGAGUAAAUCCCUCUUUGAUUAUUGGUCAGACCGGCAGGAACUUCUUCAGAUUCAUUCUGCUUUAUCAUGUCAGACCAGCUGCUGCGCACGUGUACCAAAUCUGUGCAUGAAAAACUCUAUGCAUUUUUCAUUGAAAGAAAUGCGGGAGCAUGUGAAGAGAGCUUCAUUAUUAGCAAAAGCAGAAUUUUGCUCCAUGAUGAUUGAGAUGCCGCUUCCAUUUUUUUCACAACUGGCAGUGAGGUUCUUUGUUAUAACUACUAAAUUCAAUAGCUAGUGGUUUAAAAUUCAUCUGAGGAGCCACUUGAGCCCAGGCUUUGCUAUAAACUAGUUUAAUAAAAGUAGCUAGUAUUGGUAGCUGGCGAAGAAUAGCAUACUUAACUUUCUGAGGUUAAGUCAGGUAAUGCAAAUGGAUUGUGCAUUUCGGUUUUAUUAAGCUUUAGUGGAAUGUCAACACACAGGAUCGAAGUGGAAGACAACAGAUUUUUAUUUUUUUUUUUCUCCUCCCUACAGUUACCACUGUUGUAAAUUCUGAGCUAUAUUCUCUUUUCACUUUCAUUGAUAGAAAUUCAGAAAUUUCAUUCAUUGGAGCUGGCAGGGUUAUACACUGUAGCACUAUAGGUUUGAGAGGAGAAUCAGACUCCAGAACACCAAAUUGGCACUUGACUACCUUUGUUCCCUGGAAGAUUUUCAGAUGGAGGGAGAAAGGGUUGAGAUAGGUGUAUUAUUGGGUUUAUUCCAGGCGAAAGGGUGGUAUUCUCCUCCUCCUUGAUUACUGUAUGUGUACUCAGCACUUCUUUGGGGAGUUUGCAACACAGACAUGUCUGGUAAUAAGUCUGAGAUAAAUGUGGUGCCUGUUUUCUGGAAACGUAACUGAAUCAUUGGGCUCUAUGUGUGCACGUGUUCUCUACUGUAGAUCCCUCACGUAAUCCCUCUUGAAUUCCAACACAUGCUCACUUGCUCAGUCUUACUACAUUUCUUGGUUUUGCCUUUUCUGUCACAAUGACUAUUAAGAACUGCAGCAAACUGGCAACAGUUAUCUCCUACAGCUAGGAGGAUAGAGCUUUCUUCUGCGCAUAAAUUAUUUUAGACUGUACCAUGAAAUAGAUACUAGUUUACACUCAACGUAAAGGUUAGUUAAAACAAGUAGAUACUUGGUACAAGAUAGCAAACAGUGUACAGUCUGUUUUAGGAAAAAAUAGUAACAAUAAGUCUUUAAAGUUUUAAUUUUUUUCAUCUUCAAAGUGAUUUUUUUUUUUAGUACAUAGAAAAAAAAACUGGAAAGAACAUAAUUAGUAAGCUUCGAAAAAGUGUGCAAAUGCUGUUGGCUGAUCCUACAAAAAACUGCUUGGGCAUAACUUCACUUAUGUGAGCACCACUAUUAAACUCAGCACUGAAUUAAGAAGGGGUUACUCUGGUAAGUAAAUUUAUGACAAGGCAUAAGGAUUUGGAAAACUCUAGCCUAACAUUUGUGAGUAUGACCGACAGAGAGUUUCCUAAGUCUUGUUUACACCAAUUCAGAUUAUUCAGGAAGAGAUUACAUUGAAAAAUAAUUUGAUUUAUGCAUACAAUUAAUUUAUAACAUGCAAAUUAUAAACACAGUUACAAAUUUUACAGAGCUGUACUAAGAAAGAAACUUCUGGUUUUACAACAACCGAUGUUAAUAAAUCAUUUGCUGGCAUAUUUGUUAAGCAAAAAGGAUAUAGGAUGAAAAGUCCACUGGAAAAAGGUCAGGGAGGAACAGAAGACACCUCCUGAAGAAAAUGUAUCUCACUGAAGACUUUCUUCCUUCUUUGCAAGAGAGAACUAACAGAAAUAAGGAGUAUUUAACACUUUACCAAAAAGGUGGAUUUGGUGGGGGAAAACAUCUUGCAUCUCAGUCCCACUGUUUAUUAUGUAAAUACUUUCGGAAGAUAACUACAAAUUUAACGUGUGGAUUUAUGAUUAAAAAAGUGCAUUGGGGAAUAGUAGGAAGGUCUAGAAAAACCUUCUCGACAAAUGAUGUAACGUUCCUGACAGUCAGAAUGUUAGUAAAAGACACUGAUCAAAGCAGAGGAGUCAGUAUCUCAAAGAAGUUUGUCACAGCAAUCGAACAGUGUCUGAUACUACAGACUCCUCCAUAGUCACAAGCAUGGCUUCAGUAGAUGCUCUUCUAGACACAGAAGCUGAUGAUACAACUGGUAGGAUCCUCUUUUAUUUAAUGUGUUUGACUUAUAAUAAGUUUCAUAGUUCUGGUCUCUGAUUUUUUGGUUUGGUUUGUUUUGUUUUUUUUUUUUUAUGGUGGUUUUGUAAUCUAGCAGGCACCUAACACCAAUUCAGUUCUGGUGGGAACAGCUGCAAUUUAAUGUUGGCCUACAUGAAGACUGAAUUUGGUUAAUGAUGUCUGUGACCUUUUAACUUUGAAACAAAGUUCAAGGGAAACAUUCAAGGCAUAAGGAUUUUAAUGCCCAUAUCCUGAUAGUACAUUUAUGCAGCGCGAAAUUUAAACUGAUGUGCUUUCUUUAAUAACUAAUUUUAAAAAGAAUGAGACUAUCUCGUUUUAAAAAUAUGUUUAGUGUAAAUAAUCCUAGUGUGUCUCAUUUUCCAUUGCUAGUAUUCAUAGAUGAGUCAUAAGAUCAUUCAGCAGAAGUUCCACCCCAAAAAGAUGAAAUAACUAGCCUUAGGGUAGGUGGAUUAAGGAAAUACUUGUACUUUUUUGGUUGUGGUUUUUUUUUUCACUUGAAACUAUUCUUAUUGGAUUAGAGCACCCCAGAAAACUGAAAGGAUCAUUUGACAUGAUUUGUGUAGCAUUACACAGUAAUUCAGUGAUUGCUUGUAUCCUUAUGCCUUUGUUGUUACCCCUACCAAGAAAAACAAUGCAUCAAGAACAAGGUGAGGGAGUAGUUGAAUCUCUUUGGCUGUGCAAAUCAAUUUACUGCUUGUGACAUUAAAAUGUCAGUUAUCCUGCACCUAUUAUUUUGGUGACAAGGGGAUUUGGAUACUCAGGUGUUGCAGGACUUGACCGUUCAUAAGGCCAAUGAAGAAAGCUAUUAUCCCUCUUGCUCUUUCUCUUCCUUUUGAAACUGUUCACUUGGCCUGGUGGGUUGCAUUUUCCUGGGCACUCUAUGUGCUGAGGUACAAAGAUGCCCUGACUAGCCUUCCAACAGACCCCCGGGUUGGAAGAGAGCCUCCAGCAGACAAGAAGAGUGCCCGAGCAGCCUCACCCUCGCUUUUCUGUGCCUGUCCUGCUUGCUAACACCUCACACAAGUUGGGGUAACACAGGGACUGGUGUCAGGCUGGUAACUAGCGCCUACUCCAGCAGGGCAGAAAGCUGCACUACCCCCUUCUCACCAGUCUCUGUUCUAUGCUAGAUGCAUUUGGGUUUUUAGACUUUUUCCCAGUUUCUCAUACUCUUAGCCCAAAUGUUUUGUGGAUAAAACUCAUUUUUGUUACUAGUGAAGAAGUCUGUCAUUGCUGAGGCUCCAGGGCCAUGGAGUGGCAAGAUACAGCUGACUUCAUUAGGACUGCACACAUGCUUAAAUAUAAGUAUGUGUGUUAACUACUUUCUGAGUGAGAAGACAAUGAAAAAGAGAAAAAACAGUGUUCACAUGCUAAAUCUGCCUCAGCUGCAUUAGAUCCAAACAGUUCUGUAUAGACAGCUCUGUGUGCGCUCAAAAGAAUAAUGAAGUAAAGUGUAAUCCUCGACUAAAAUCUGUAAGAUCAGUGAAGUCACUUAUGGAAGAACCAAGAAACACACUACUUAUGAUUUGUUUUUUUUUUAAAGACAAUAUUUAUUAAUUAGUACAGCCAUUGUAGAAAUGGGAUAUGGGACCUAUUGGUAAGAAUUUUGUUUUGGAGGCUUUUUGAACUGGCCCUGGGUUUUGCAUUAGUGUAUUUUCUAGAAGGUGAAUUUUAAAUAUAAGAAUGUAACUGUCGCUUGAUAAUCAGAUUGGAAAUCACAUCAGCCUUUUCAGAAUGUGAUUGUUCUUGAUGAUGUUUUGGUUUUUUAGUUUUAAAAUUAUAAUAUUAAAUGCUCUAUUGAAUUGUUUUAUUUAAUUAAUGAAACUCCCGUUGUGAAUUAAGACUAAUGGAGUCAUUGUUUUUGUCACAGGUGAUCCUUGGACUUCUUUCUGUGCCUCAAGAGAAAGCAAGUAGCUCGACAAAUAUUUGACUCAAGGGAAAUAACUUGUAGAAGAUCGAGUUGUAGCACAAAUUCAGGGUUCUCAUGAAAACUAAGAUGUUGAUGGCAAUGAACAUUAUUUCAGACAUGAAUAACUUCCAGUAUUAGAAAUGGUAAGCUGUUUGGGAGAAGGAAAAUAUCUAGUUGAGAUGCUGAACUUUGCCAGUUGCUGAACAGAACUAAGCAUAAAAAUAUAGUUUAUUCUGAAUAAAGCUUUUCCUCAGACUGGUUUUGAUUGAAUAGUUUACUGAAUCAAAAGUUUACUUCAGAAACCUGUUUAAAAGACGUUGUGCUGUGAGUCAUCAAAGGUAGAAAUGAGUAUUUCAAAUAAUUAAUACAAUAUUCUUAGUAAUUUAUCUGUCAAACUCAGAUAUUCUUUCCUUAAGAUUCUGCAUUCUAAAGUUUUUAGAGGGUCUCCUUUUUUAUGUUUUGCUGCAGCUAGCAGUCAACAGUACUGAUAAGCUAUAUUACUUGCUGUCUAUUUUAGGUUAUUUUUUGGAGGGAUUCUCCAUUUUUUUUGUCAAGAUUUUUUUCAUCUUUAAUAUUUUUGUUAGCAUUUUCUGAUCUGCUUCUACUCUUAUUGCUUUUCUUUUUCUUUUUCCCCUAGCUGCUUUCCUAUCUUGUUUUAACAUAGAUACUUCAUAUCUUUCUAGUAUAAGACAUCGUCAGAAAGUCUAGUUUAGUGACAGAAAAUGCUGCCAACAAUAGGCAUCCAAUGCUGAUAUGACAAUGUCUGUUCUGUUUGUACAAUGAGGCUUGCUUCCCUAGGGCCAUAAAAAUGUUGCAGUGUCAAUUCAAUGCUAUGCAUCACAGUUUAAUUUUGCAACCUCAGUAAGAACCUUGUCACCCUUGCUGCUGGCAGUUUUUUAUCUACUUGCAUUCAUAACCUGCCUCAAAUUCCAUAUUUUCCUCUCCCAAGAAACAAUUACAAACCUCUGUUUCAAGAGGACAAGUGUUACCAAGAAUUCUUCAGGAUAAUAGAACACAAUUUGCUAAUGUUUCAAUGCUCACUUGUUUAAUGAACAAGUAAACAUGUAUUUAACAUGGGUUUGCUUUUGGGGUGCAGAUGCGAGGUUUACAAAACUAAUUGGUCUUCAAGGAGAUAUUAGAAGCAGAUGUGGCCUGUCCCUGUGCUGACAGAGCUGAGCUCCUCCCUUGAUUCUUCAUAGAAUCAUAGGAUGGUUUGAAUUGGAAGAGACCUUAAAGAUCAUCUAAUUCCAACCCCCAUGCCGUGGGCAGGGACACCUCCUACUAGAUCAGGCUGCCUAAGGCCCCAUCCAACCAGGCCUUCAGCACUUUCAAGGAUGGGGCACCCACAACUUCCCUGGGCAACCUGUGCAAAUGCCUCACUACCAUCAUCAUGAGGAAAUUCCUUCUUAUGUCUAGUCUAGUCUCUCCCCAGCUUUCUUGUAUGCCCCCUUCAGGUACUGGAAGUACAGGAGAUGCUAUGUUACAUCUCUGAACCUUCCUUGAAUCUCUGUUACUGAAUUAGUUCUCACUUAAGACAAAGGAUUUUAAAGAGACCUUCUCAAUUGUGAAAUCCAGUUUCCAGGUGUAGGAGGUGUCCGUACAAAUCCUUCCAGAAUCACCCUUCAGCUUAGGUUAUGGGGUUUUUUCUUACUCCACAACUCAAGAAGGGCAUUCUCACUGCCUAAACGGAUUUUCUGUCAGUUUAUGUUUCUGCUGUUGUACCAAUGUUACUUAACAUCUCUCUAUUGUAAUGAAUGAGAAUAAAAGCAUCAUGUCUUAGCUGUCAUUUUACUAGUCAAAAAAAGGUGGAUAUCAAAUUCUAUUAGUCUGCUAACAAAAUAACCUUUCUCAUGCAAGAGAGCGCUACCUCAGGAGUAUGCCUUAUCUCUGGAAAUACCUUCCCUAAAAGUGAAAUCCUGGUUUUACUGAAAUCAAUAGCAAACCUUUUGCCAAGGUCAGCGCCUGUCUCCUCUCACUUUUUUUGGCUGCUGUCUUUGCCUAUGAGUAAGAAGGAUUCUAUACUGCUAACAAUCUUAAACUCAACAUGCAGAAAGCAGAAGUGUCUUUACCAUAACUUUGGAGUCGGAACAGGAUUUUCAUUAGGUUACUGAUAUCCUUGCAACAAAGCUGAUUACAGAUCAGAAUCCUAAGUCCUCUGUAUCCUGAGGUACGUGCAUCACAAGAAGCCACUUACAAUUUCAUGUAUAGUAGGUAUGCAAGCUGUUAAGUCUGAGAAUUGAUGCUUCAAGAACAUCCCUGGGAAUAAAGAAAACACAAGAGACCACCUCCUGCUGCAGUGCUGUCCUUUCUAGGGUUUGGGUUUGUUUGGUUUUUGACAGAUGGAAAUUAUGUUACUUAGGUCAAGGACAGCUUGUUUGUACUAGAGUUGUCUGGUUAGAUCACAUCAGUUUAUCCUUGAUAUUUUCUUUGUCCUUUUUUGUUUUCUAGAAACUCGUGGCUCUUUGAUAUGUUCAUUAGGCAGAAUAAAUGUCACAAUUGGAGUUUUGCUCCUACAGCCCCAUUGUACAGAAUGUCUAGUGGUUUGGUUGCGAAAUAUGGCAUCAUCACAUAUAUGUGUGAUGUUUCUUUAGAAAUUUCUAUUAUCAACCUGAUAUUUGACUGCUAUCUUUUCACCUCUCAUUUUGUUUGUUUUUUUUUUUUUUUUAUUUUAUCUUGCCUGGAGAAUUGUACUGUUGAGAGUCUCUUCAGUGCCUCAUAAAUCCAUCUUAGUCUCCCUUUGUGAUGAUGUAACCCAUUUCAACACCUGUUGCUAAGGAUUUUCUUAGCUUUGGCAGUUUCGGGGAUAUACAGCUACACAUUUAUAUUUAAGCAUACAUAAAUUCUACUGGUUUUCAUCAUGUUGCAGAAAGUACUCCUACCAAAGCUUGUUUCAUUUUGUGAUAUACUUUAUACUUUUAUUAUUUUGUGGUGUAUUUUUAUACUUUUUAUUAAUGCACCUAGAAACAUUUCUUCUAAUUAUCUGGGUGUUUUUGCAGAAAGUACUUUUUCUUUGUGCUUCUUUUUCUAAUGCCACAUCCACUGGCACAUUGUAACUCAUGUUUUUGUAUAUUGCUUGUGAAUAUACACACUCUAGAAAUGAGGAUCUCUCAUAUGUAGGAGAAUGAUAUUCAGCAUGU